AUUGAACGCUGGCGGCAGGCCUAACACAUGCAAGUCGAGCGGAUGAAGGGAGCUUGCUCCUGGAUUCCGCGGCGGACGGGUGAGUAAUGCCUAGGAAUCUGCCUGGUAGUGGGGGAUAACGUCCGGAAACGGGCGCUAAUACCGCAUACGUCCUGAGGGAGAAAGUGGGGGAUCUUCGGACCUCACGCUAUCAGCUGAGCCUAGGUCGGAUUAGCUAGUUGGUGGGGUAAAGGCCUACCAAGGCGACGAUCCGUAACUGGUCUGAGAGGAUGAUCAGUCACACUGGAACUGAGACACGGUCCAGACUCCUACGGGAGGCAGCAGUGGGGAAUAUUGCACAAUGGGCGAAAGCCUGAUCCAGCCAUGCCGCGUGUGUGAAGAAGGUCUUCGGAUUGUAAAGCACUUUAAGUUGGGAGGAAGGGCAGUAAGUUAAUCCCUUGCUGUUUUGACGUUACCAACAGAAUAAGCACCGGCUAACUUCGUG
Molecule: ribosomal RNA, 484 nt
Filed under: uncultured bacterium
Lineage: Bacteria
Description: partial 16S ribosomal RNA
Rfam family: Bacterial small subunit ribosomal RNA
Source: RNAcentral